UUGAGUUCGUUAAAAAAAAAG
This is a non-coding RNA of Caenorhabditis elegans, 21 nucleotides long. The record is from Ensembl. Lineage: Eukaryota; Metazoa; Nematoda; Chromadorea; Rhabditida; Rhabditidae.